UUAAGCGACUAAGCGUACACGGUGGAUGCCCUGGCAGUCAGAGGCGAUGAAGGACGUGCUAAUCUGCGAUAAGCGUCGGUAAGGUGAUAUGAACCGUUAUAACCGGCGAUUUCCGAAUGGGGAAACCCAGUGUGUUUCGACACACUAUCAUUAACUGAAUCCAUAGGUUAAUGAGGCGAACCGGGGGAACUGAAACAUCUAAGUACCCCGAGGAAAAGAAAUCAACCGAGAUUCCCCCAGUAGCGGCGAGCGAACGGGGAGGAGCCCAGAGCCUGAAUCAGUGUGUGUGUUAGUGGAAGCGUCUGGAAAGGCGCGCGAUACAGGGUGACAGCCCCGUACACAAAAAUGCACAUAUUGUGAGCUCGAUGAGUAGGGCGGGACACGUGGUAUCCUGUCUGAAUAUGGGGGGACCAUCCUCCAAGGCUAAAUACUCCUGACUGACCGAUAGUGAACCAGUACCGUGAGGGAAAGGCGAAAAGAACCCCGGCGAGGGGAGUGAAAAAGAACCUGAAACCGUGUACGUACAAGCAGUGGGAGCACGCUUAGGCGUGUGACUGCGUACCUUUUGUAUAAUGGGUCAGCGACUUAUAUUCUGUAGCAAGGUUAACCGAAUAGGGGAGCCGAAGGGAAACCGAGUCUUAACUGGGCGUUAAGUUGCAGGGUAUAGACCCGAAACCCGGUGAUCUAGCCAUGGGCAGGUUGAAGGUUGGGUAACACUAACUGGAGGACCGAACCGACUAAUGUUGAAAAAUUAGCGGAUGACUUGUGGCUGGGGGUGAAAGGCCAAUCAAACCGGGAGAUAGCUGGUUCUCCCCGAAAGCUAUUUAGGUAGCGCCUCGUGAAUUCAUCUCCGGGGGUAGAGCACUGUUUCGGCAAGGGGGUCAUCCCGACUUACCAACCCGAUGCAAACUGCGAAUACCGGAGAAUGUUAUCACGGGAGACACACGGCGGGUGCUAACGUCCGUCGUGAAGAGGGAAACAACCCAGACCGCCAGCUAAGGUCCCAAAGUCAUGGUUAAGUGGGAAACGAUGUGGGAAGGCCCAGACAGCCAGGAUGUUGGCUUAGAAGCAGCCAUCAUUUAAAGAAAGCGUAAUAGCUCACUGGUCGAGUCGGCCUGCGCGGAAGAUGUAACGGGGCUAAACCAUGCACCGAAGCUGCGGCAGCGACGCUUAUGCGUUGUUGGGUAGGGGAGCGUUCUGUAAGCCUGUGAAGGUGUGCUGUGAGGCAUGCUGGAGGUAUCAGAAGUGCGAAUGCUGACAUAAGUAACGAUAAAGCGGGUGAAAAGCCCGCUCGCCGGAAGACCAAGGGUUCCUGUCCAACGUUAAUCGGGGCAGGGUGAGUCGACCCCUAAGGCGAGGCCGAAAGGCGUAGUCGAUGGGAAACAGGUUAAUAUUCCUGUACUUGGUGUUACUGCGAAGGGGGGACGGAGAAGGCUAUGUUGGCCGGGCGACGGUUGUCCCGGUUUAAGCGUGUAGGCUGGUUUUCCAGGCAAAUCCGGAAAAUCAAGGCUGAGGCGUGAUGACGAGGCACUACGGUGCUGAAGCAACAAAUGCCCUGCUUCCAGGAAAAGCCUCUAAGCAUCAGGUAACAUCAAAUCGUACCCCAAACCGACACAGGUGGUCAGGUAGAGAAUACCAAGGCGCUUGAGAGAACUCGGGUGAAGGAACUAGGCAAAAUGGUGCCGUAACUUCGGGAGAAGGCACGCUGAUAUGUAGGUGAAGUGCCUCGCUGGUGGAGCUGAAAUCAGUCGAAGAUACCAGCUGGCUGCAACUGUUUAUUAAAAACACAGCACUGUGCAAACACGAAAGUGGACGUAUACGGUGUGACGCCUGCCCGGUGCCGGAAGGUUAAUUGAUGGGGUUAGCCGCAAGGCGAAGCUCUUGAUCGAAGCCCCGGUAAACGGCGGCCGUAACUAUAACGGUCCUAAGGUAGCGAAAUUCCUUGUCGGGUAAGUUCCGACCUGCACGAAUGGCGUAAUGAUGGCCAGGCUGUCUCCACCCGAGACUCAGUGAAAUUGAACUCGCUGUGAAGAUGCAGUGUACCCGCGGCAAGACGGAAAGACCCCGUGAACCUUUACUAUAGCUUGACACUGAACAUUGAGCCUUGAUGUGUAGGAUAGGUGGGAGGCUUUGAAGUGUGGACGCCAGUCUGCAUGGAGCCGACCUUGAAAUACCACCCUUUAAUGUUUGAUGUUCUAACGUUGACCCGUAAUCCGGGUUGCGGACAGUGUCUGGUGGGUAGUUUGACUGGGGCGGUCUCCUCCUAAAGAGUAACGGAGGAGCACGAAGGUUGGCUAAUCCUGGUCGGACAUCAGGAGGUUAGUGCAAUGGCAUAAGCCAGCUUGACUGCGAGCGUGACGGCGCGAGCAGGUGCGAAAGCAGGUCAUAGUGAUCCGGUGGUUCUGAAUGGAAGGGCCAUCGCUCAACGGAUAAAAGGUACUCCGGGGAUAACAGGCUGAUACCGCCCAAGAGUUCAUAUCGACGGCGGUGUUUGGCACCUCGAUGUCGGCUCAUCACAUCCUGGGGCUGAAGUAGGUCCCAAGGGUAUGGCUGUUCGCCAUUUAAAGUGGUACGCGAGCUGGGUUUAGAACGUCGUGAGACAGUUCGGUCCCUAUCUGCCGUGGGCGCUGGAGAACUGAGGGGGGCUGCUCCUAGUACGAGAGGACCGGAGUGGACGCAUCACUGGUGUUCGGGUUGUCAUGCCAAUGGCACUGCCCGGUAGCUAAAUGCGGAAGAGAUAAGUGCUGAAAGCAUCUAAGCACGAAACUUGCCCCGAGAUGAGUUCUCCCUGACUCCUUGAGAGUCCUGAAGGAACGUUGAAGACGACGACGUUGAUAGGCCGGGUGUGUAAGCGCAGCGAUGCGUUGAGCUAACCGGUACUAAUGAACCGUGAGGCUUAACCUU
RNAcentral lists this ribosomal RNA (2904 nucleotides) under Escherichia coli HVH 164 (4-5953081). Its description in RNAcentral is "bacterial LSU rRNA". It matches the Rfam family "Bacterial large subunit ribosomal RNA". Lineage: Bacteria; Pseudomonadati; Pseudomonadota; Gammaproteobacteria; Enterobacterales; Enterobacteriaceae. The record is from RNAcentral.